UGCCCGCCUGGGGAGUNCGAUCGCAAGAUUAAACUCAAANGAAUUGACGGGGCCCCCACAAGCAGCGGAGCAUGCGGCUUAAUUCGACGCAACGCGAAGAACCUUACCAAGGCUUGACAUAUAGCGAAAAGUGGCAGAGAUGUCAUGUCCGCAAGGGCGCUAUACAGGUGGUGCAUGGUUGUCGUCAGCUCGUGUCGUGAGAUGUUGGGUUAAGUCCCGCAACGAGCGCAACCCUCGUUCUGUGUUACCAGCAUUUAGUUGGGGACUCACAGGAGACUGCCGGGGUCAACUCGGAGGAAGGUGGGGAUGACGUCAAAUCAUCAUGCCCCUUAUGUCUUGGGCUGCACGCAUGCUACAAUGGCCGGUACAAAGUGCUGCGAGAUCGUAAGAUUGAGCGAAUCACAUAAAGCCGGUCUCAGUUCGGAUUGAGGUCUGCAACUCGACCUCAUGAAGUCGGAGUUGCUAGUAAUCGUAGAUCAGCAACGCUACGGUGAAUACGUUCCCGGGGCUUGUACACACCGCCCGUCACGUCACGAAAGUCGGUAACACCCAAAGUUAGUGGCCCAACCGCAAGGGGGGAGCUACCUAAGGUGGGAUCGGUGAUUGGGACGAAGUCGUAACAAGGU
This 626-nucleotide ribosomal RNA is filed under the name uncultured bacterium. RNAcentral describes it as "bacterial SSU rRNA". It matches the Rfam family "Bacterial small subunit ribosomal RNA", at positions 866 to 1497 of the family's 1533-position model. The record is from RNAcentral.